Phrynosoma platyrhinos (Desert horned lizard) is the source of this 71-nucleotide non-coding RNA. The record is from the annotation of a GenBank genome assembly. Lineage: Eukaryota; Metazoa; Chordata; Lepidosauria; Squamata; Phrynosomatidae.
GCCAGUAUAGUGUAGUGGUUUCAUCGUUGGACUAUGACUCUGGAGAUUAGGGUUCAAUUCCCUCUCAAGCA